This 490-nucleotide ribosomal RNA is filed under the name uncultured bacterium. RNAcentral describes it as "partial 16S ribosomal RNA". It matches the Rfam family "Bacterial small subunit ribosomal RNA", at positions 29 to 507 of the family's 1533-position model. The record is from RNAcentral.
AAUGAACGCUGGCGGCAUGCCUUACACAUGCAAGUCGAACGGCAGCAUGACCUAGCUUGCUAGGUUGAUGGCGAGUGGCGAACGGGUGAGUAAUGCAUCGGAACGUGCCUUUUAGUGGGGGAUAACGUAGCGAAAGUUACGCUAAUACCGCAUAUUCUCUGAGGAGGAAAGCAGGGGACCUUCGGGCCUUGCGCUAGAAGAGCGGCCGAUGUCGGAUUAGCUAGUUGGUGAGGUAAAGGCUCACCAAGGCAACGAUCCGUAGCGGGUCUGAGAGGAUGAUCCGCCACACUGGGACUGAGACACGGCCCAGACUCCUACGGGAGGCAGCAGUGGGGAAUUUUGGACAAUGGGCGCAAGCCUGAUCCAGCCAUGCCGCGUGAGUGAAGAAGGCCUUCGGGUUGUAAAGCUCUUUCGGCUGGGAAGAAAUAGCACCCUCUAAUACAGGGUGUGGAUGACGGUACCAGCAUAAGAAGCACCGGCUAACUACGUG